RNAcentral lists this ribosomal RNA (497 nucleotides) under uncultured bacterium. RNAcentral describes it as "partial 16S ribosomal RNA". It matches the Rfam family "Bacterial small subunit ribosomal RNA", at positions 28 to 507 of the family's 1533-position model. The record is from RNAcentral.
GAUGAACGCUGGCGGCGUGCCUAAUACAUGCAAGUCGAGCGAACAGACGAGGAGCUUGCUCCUCUGACGUUAGCGGCGGACGGGUGAGUAACACGUGGAUAACCUACCUAUAAGACUGGGAUAACUUCGGGAAACCGGAGCUAAUACCGGAUAAUAUAUUGAACCGCAUGGUUCAAUAGUGAAAGACGGUUUUGCUGUCACUUAUAGAUGGAUCCGCGCCGCAUUAGCUAGUUGGUAAGGUAACGGCUUACCAAGGCAACGAUGCGUAGCCGACCUGAGAGGGUGAGCGGGCAAAAGGGAACUGAGAAACGGAAAAGCCUAAGACGGGAGGAAGAAGUGGGGAAUUAGUGGCAAUGGGAGAAGGCCCGAAGGAGCAAGGAAGCGUGAGGGAGGAAGGUAUUAGGAUCGUAAAAAUUGGUGAUGAGGGAAGAAAAAAUGUGUAAGGAAAUACGCAAGGCGCGACGGUAGAUAAUAAGAAAGAAAGGGCGAACUAGGUG